This 536-nucleotide long non-coding RNA is filed under the name Gallus gallus (chicken). Lineage: Eukaryota; Metazoa; Chordata; Aves; Galliformes; Phasianidae. The record is from RNAcentral.
CGCUCCCCUCCUCCUCCUCCUCCUCUCUCCGCUCCCCACCUCCUGCAGCCGCCACCGGAGGGGCCCCCGGGGGGGGUAAAAGGGUGAAAAAAGGGGGAUCUGAGGCGGGGGGUGGAUAAAGGGAGCUGUGAGGGGGCCGGGCCGGCGGGGGGGGUGGGGGGUGGAGGCCCCUCUCACAUGACAGCGGUGUUUGGCCCCGUGAUCGCCGCGUCGCCGCGGGGCCGCUGGGCCUGAGCGGCGCGGGGGGGGCCUCGGGGCUGAGCCCCCCCCGGUAAAAUCCGGGGCUCCCCCCCCCCCCCCCCCAGAAAAAAAAAAAGGGAGAAAAGGAAAGAAAAUCGUCCGUUAAAAAUCGGCUGAGGGAAAAGCGCGGCCCCCCCCCCCGCCGAGUGCGGGGUACGCGAGUGGGGGGGUCUGCGGUGCCCCCCCCAUGGACAUGUUGGACCCCGGGUUGGACGCUGCCGCUGCCUCUGCUGCACCCAGGCACGAGAAGAGCCAGGACGGCGAGGAGGGCGUUGAGCUGCAGGAGGGUGAGUGGG